Molecule: long non-coding RNA, 477 nt
Filed under: Androctonus crassicauda
Lineage: Eukaryota; Metazoa; Arthropoda; Arachnida; Scorpiones; Buthidae
Source: RNAcentral
UUAUAUGGUAAAGAACUUAUGGAUUGCAAAGGUCAAGUCAUCCAAUAGAAUAACCGUUUUCUGUUUCGUUCAUCCAAUAGCAGUUUACUUUUUAUCAUCGGUAACAAUUUGAAAUAUGUAUUAUCUUUUAAAAAAUUGUUGAAUUAAUACUUCAUAUUUCAUGGUUGUGCUAUUAAAUAUUAAAAUAAAUCUCUAAUUGUUUAAAUUUAAAUAAAUACAACGAAUGAUGUCACCGUCCUUUAGUAUUUAGCAGUAAUGGCGGAUAGUAUAAUUGUUUGUAAGCGAGGAGAAACAUUGCACAGUCAAGCUAGAAAUAUUAUUUUAAACGUAUAUAAGUAUUUUGGAAAGCAGAAAUCUAUUCGAAGUGACAUUUUUAACGAAACUUCACUAGCUACUGAUGUUUCUGUAUCGACAAUUAAAAGAAUUGUAACCGAAGGAAACAAAACUGCGGACGAUGACCUGAAAAUGGAAAACAUG